Malus domestica (apple) is the source of this 105-nucleotide small nucleolar RNA. RefSeq annotates it as small nucleolar RNA snoR2/U65. The record is from RefSeq and is a predicted model, not a curated record. Lineage: Eukaryota; Viridiplantae; Streptophyta; Magnoliopsida; Rosales; Rosaceae.
GACAUGAAUCUCAGGUCUAAUUAUUUCUCAUUUCACAUUCUGAUAGAAACCUGUGGAUCCUAAUUUUUUACUGGUCCAUGGAGCCGAUUUAUUGUGAUUACAUUU